Molecule: transfer RNA, 59 nt
Filed under: Setaria labiatopapillosa
Lineage: Eukaryota; Metazoa; Nematoda; Chromadorea; Rhabditida; Setariidae
Description: tRNA-Gln
Source: RNAcentral
UGGAUUUAGUUUAAUUAAAAUUUUUGUUUUUGGUGCAUAAGAUAUUUUCCAAGUUAUUU